RNAcentral lists this ribosomal RNA (280 nucleotides) under uncultured bacterium. Its description in RNAcentral is "partial 16S ribosomal RNA". It matches the Rfam family "Bacterial small subunit ribosomal RNA", at positions 766 to 1037 of the family's 1533-position model. The record is from RNAcentral.
UAAUCAGCUGGAUUAGAUACCCGGGUAGUCCACGCUGUAAACGAUGAUCACUAGACGUUAGUCUUGCUUUGCAGGAUUAGUGUCGUAGCUAACGCGAUAAGUGAUCCGCCUGGGGACUACGGUCGCAAGAUUAAAACUCAAAGGAAUUGACGGGGGCCCGCACAAGCGGUGGAACAUGUGGUUUAAUUCGAUGCUACGCGAGGAACCUUACCUAGACUUGACAUGUAUUUGACCGCCAUGGAAACAUGGUUUUCAAGUUUCGGCUUGGACGGAUGCACAG